GCUCAGGUGAGCUCAGGUGAGCUCAGGUGCCGGUGCCGGCUCCGGCCACGCUGCGCGGACACGCGAGGAGCCCGGGAAAACCUCCGCGUGGAACCACAGCCUUCCUGCUGAGGACACGAGGGAAAGGACCCAGGAAUGCCUGCCUCUACCACAUAACAUUUGCUGGAGGAUGAGUAGCAUCUUUGAAUAAGGAAUGACAGAAUUUACAAGGACUGUGGUGGAAAAUGAAGUUUUUCCAGGCUGUGAAUUCCCAAGUUACCCUGCCUUUCCCAGGAGCCCUUCACUCUGUGACAACAGGUAAAAGAUUUUCAAAGAACAUUUUUAAGGAAAGUUGCUGUAAAAGCAGAGAAUUCCCUGUCUUGAAACUCAGAGAUGGAAGUGACAUAACAGAUUUCUGCAUCUACAAGUCUUGUGUAAAAGCUAUGAAAGAACAAAGCAGCUGCCAGCAAGGGGUAAGAAUCCACCAAGUUACAUUGUGAUGAAUACUCAGAAUGAAGGAAUUAAAUAUUACAUAGGCUCUGGCAGAUGGAAGGAGAAUGACCAAGCAGCAGGUACCUCAUUACACCUAGAAUAUGUAACUGAUAGAGCAGGUGAGCAAGUACAAAUUGUUGCAGAAUCUGUAUUGAGAUUUAGGCAAAAGGAGGUGUAUGGUGAAAAUACAUCAACCAGGAAAAACAGCUUGCAGAGUACAGCAACGUGUCCGUCCAGAUUCUGAGGUAAAAGUGAACAAAACUUGCAUCAUUAUUACAGCAAAUUAAAAAGUGUCAAUACUUCUAAAGCCAUGGCAAGGAAAUGCAGCAUUACUGCAUCCGCUGGCAUCUUUUCUGUGUGGGGCAGGUCAGCAUUUCAGGCCUUUUUCUUUAGGCAGAAAUCAAAUUCUGUCUAAGCUGAGAAACAGAUUAAAACUAUUUUCUUUUGUUAAUUUUUUUUUAUUUUGUUU
Long non-coding RNA from Myiozetetes cayanensis, 940 nucleotides. RefSeq lists it as uncharacterized. The record is from RefSeq and is a predicted model, not a curated record. NCBI's taxonomy places the organism in Eukaryota, Metazoa, Chordata, Aves, Passeriformes, Tyrannidae. The transcript has 4 exons.